AGCGUUUGUCUUAUCGACCAGAAAAAUUGACCCGAUACCAAACUGAACGGCAACGCCAUAUUCCAUUAUAGCUGUUUCGUAGUACAAGUUUCAGGUCGGUGAGGCACGUAUCCCCGGAGAAAAUACCGACAUUGAAUUGCUCCGUAUCCAGAUCCUCCACGUACCUGCCCAGCAGGCGGUUCAAAAAUGCCGCUAUAGCCCCCUCGAACAUCGUCACCGUCGUCGUCGUCUGCCCCGAGGAGUCCCUUGAGCACCAGUGCCGCUUUCUAUUUGUCACGCAAGCCAGACGACGAGAUCAUAUGGGAUCAACCUGGACCCCGGUCAUCGCCAUAACCUCCUCGGGACUGUUGCAAUUCGCAAAA
Solenopsis invicta (red fire ant) is the source of this 362-nucleotide long non-coding RNA. RefSeq lists it as uncharacterized. Lineage: Eukaryota; Metazoa; Arthropoda; Insecta; Hymenoptera; Formicidae. The transcript is spliced from 2 exons. The record is from RefSeq and is a predicted model, not a curated record.